GACGUAGGGCGCGAGCGUUGUCCGGAUUUAUUGGGCGUAAAGAGCUCGUAGGCGGCUUGUUGCGUCGACUGUGAAAACCCGCGGCUUAACUGCGGGCUUGCAGUUGAUACGGGCAGGCUAGAGUUCGGUAGGGGAGACUGGAAUUCCUGGUGUAGCGGUGAAAUGCGCAGAUAUCAGGAGGAACACCGGUGGCGUAGGCGGGUCUCUGGGCCGAUACUGACGCUGAGGAGCGAAAGCGUGGGGAGCGAACAGG
This 253-nucleotide ribosomal RNA is filed under the name uncultured bacterium. RNAcentral describes it as "partial 16S ribosomal RNA". It matches the Rfam family "Bacterial small subunit ribosomal RNA", at positions 524 to 776 of the family's 1533-position model. The record is from RNAcentral.